GUAAGGGCAUGCGAUGGAUGCCUUGGCGUCGAGAGACGAUGAAGGACGUGGAUAGCUGCGAUAAGCCUCGGGGAGCCGCUAACAGGCAUUGAUCCGGGGAUUUCCGAAUGGGGCAACCCGUGGAGGUUCAUACCUCCCAUCGCUCGGAACAAUAAAUAACCGAGCGAGGACAACGAGGGGAAGUGAAACAUCUCAGUACCCUCAGGAAAAGAAAGCAAACGCGAUUCCCCAAGUAGCGGCGAGCGAACGGGGAUCAGCCCAAACCGUUCAACCAUGUGGCCUGUCGGCUUAGGUUGGGCGGGGUUGCGGGGCAGCUGGUGGCGGAACGACAGAUCCGCCGGAGGAGGCCGCAUAAUACGCGGUCUGAAUCGUAGCCGAACAGAUUGGAAACCUGGCCAUAGAGGGUGAUAGCCCCUUAGGCGAAACGGUGAAAAUCCUCUUCAGCUGUUCCCAAGUACCGCGGGACACGUGGAACCCUGCGGGAAUCCGGGAGGACCACCUUCCAAGGCUAAAUACUACUCGACGACCGAUAGUGAACUAGUACCGCGAGGGAAAGGUGAAAAGCACCCCAUUGAGGGGAGUGAAAUAGUACCUGAAAUCGCAUGUCUACAAGCAGUGGUAGCUCUAUGGUCGCAAGCUUCGGCCUGCGACCAGAGCGACCUCGUACCUUUUGCAUAAUGGGUCAGCGAGUUAAUCUUAGCGGCAAGGUUAAGCCGUAGGGAAGUCCCAAUGGUGUAGCCGUAGCGAAAGCGAGUCUGAAUAGGGCGACAAGUCGCUGGGAUUAGACACGAAGCCAAGUGAGCUACCCAUGGCCAGGAUGAAGAGUGGGUAAUACCACUUCGGAGGUCCGAACUCACUCAGGUUGAAAACUGAGGAGAUGAGCUGUGGGUAGGGGUGAAAGGCUAAUCAAACUUGGUGAUAGCUUGUUCUCCCCGAAAUGUAUUUGGGUACAGCCUCGUGAGUCGGCGACGGAGGUAGAGCUCUGGAUGGGCUAGGGGUCUUACCGGAUUACCAAACCCAACCAAACUACGAAUUCCGUCGACUGCAAUCACGGGAGUGAGACUGUGGGUGAUAAGAUUCAUAGUCGAGAGGGAAAUAGCCCAGACCGCCGGCUAAGGCCCCUAAAUGUAUGCUAAGUGGUUAAGGAAGUGGAAGCGCGUUGACAACCAGGAGGUUGGCUUAGAAGCAGCCAUCCUUUAAAGAAAGCGUAACAGCUCACUGGUCGAUGUGAGUCCGCGCCGAAAAUGUAGCGGGGCUCAAGCAUACUGCCGACGCCGCGGGAUCGGCCCGGUCUUCGGACCGGGUGGAUCGGUAGGGGAGCGUUCCAGUCGCCUGUGAAGGUAGACCGUAAGGACUGCUGGAGGCCCUGGAAGUGAUUAUGCUGACAUGAGUAGCUUUCAUGCCGGUGAGAACCCGGCACGCCGUUUGCCCAAGGUUUCCUGGGGAAGGUCAAUCCGCCCAGGGUUAGUCGGACCCUAAGCCGAGGCUGAAAAGCGUAGGCGAUGGAAAACAGGUUAAUAAUCCUGUACCACUGGGGUUCACGUUGAAGCUGCACGGGAGGACGGAGAUUGGUAGGCCAGCCUACUACUGGAUGUAGGUUCAAGCUCGCAGGGGUCUCCUUGGAUAAUAAACGGGAGAAUCGCCCCGAGGAGUGAUGAGGAGGGUCUUCGACCCACAAACUGGUUGAUCCUAUGCUCCCAAGAAAAGUCCCGCAGUGGAGUGUACUCCGGUGUCCGUACUACAAACCGACUCAGGUGGGCAAGGAGAGAAUCCUAAGGCGUGUGAGAUAACCCUCGCUAAGGAACUAAGCAAAAUAGCACCGUAACUUCGGGAGAAGGUGUGCCCGCUCUAGGUGAUGGAAUUUACUUCCCGAGCCGAAGCGGGUCGCAGUGACUAGGCGGUAGCGACUGUUUACUAAAAACACAGGACUCUGCAAACUCGCAAGAGGAUGUAUAGGGUCUGACGCCUGCCCGGUGCUGGAAGGUUAAGGGGAUCGGUUAGCCGCAAGGCGAAGCCGUGAACCGAAGCCCCAGUAAACGGCGGCCGUAACUAUAACGGUCCUAAGGUAGCGAAAUUCCUUGUCGGGUAAGUUCCGACCUGCACGAAUGGCGUAACGACUUCCGCACUGUCUCAGCGAGGGACUCAGCGAAACUGAAUUGGCAGUGAAAAUGCUGUCUACCCGCGGCAAGACGGUAAGACCCUGUGGACCUUUACUACAGCUUGGCAUUGAAUUUCGAAUUGAUCUGUAGAGGAUAGGUAGGAGGCUUUGAAACCGGGUCGUCAGAUUCGGCGGAGCCAACGGUGGAAUACUACCCUGGUCAGUUUGGAAUUCUAACUCCGCUCCGUAAUCCGGGGCGAGGACAAUGCCUGGCGGGUAGUUUGACUGGGGCGGUCGCCUCCCAAAAUGUAACGGAGGCGCGCUAAGGUUCCCUCAGGCUGAUUGGAAACCAGCCGAAGAGUGCAAAGGCAUAAGGGAGCUUAACUGCGAGACUGACGGGUCAAGCAGGUGGGAAACCAGGUCUUAGUGAUCCGGCGGUUCUGAGUGGAAGGGCCGUCGCUCAUCGGACAAAAGGUACCCCGGGGAUAACAGGCUGAUCGCAUCCAAGAGUUCACAUCGACGAUGCGGUUUGGCACCUCGAUGUCGGCUCAUCGCAUCCUGGGGCUGAAGUCGGUCCCAAGGGUUUGGCUGUUCGCCAAUUAAAGCGGUACGCGAGCUGGGUUUAGAACGUCGUGAGACAGUUCGGUCCCUAUCUGCCGUGGGCGGAGGAUACUUGAGAGGAGCUAUCCCUAGUACGAGAGGACCGGGAUGGACGCACCACUGGUGUUCCAGUUGUCCUGCCAAGGGCAUUGCUGGGUAGCUAUGUGCGGAAAGGAUAACCGCUGAAAGCAUCUAAGCGGGAAGCCUCCCUCAAGAUUAGGUAUCCCGCUCCGUAAGGAGCCUAAAGACCCCUUCUAGACUAGGAGGUUGAUAGGCCGGAGGUGGAAGCGCAGUAAUGCGUGGAGCUGACCGGUACUAAUUGGUCGUGAGGCUUGACC
This 3036-nucleotide ribosomal RNA is filed under the name activated sludge metagenome. Its description in RNAcentral is "bacterial LSU rRNA". It matches the Rfam family "Bacterial large subunit ribosomal RNA". The record is from RNAcentral.